GGGUUGUGAGGUUAAGCGACUAAGCGUACACGGUGGAUGCCCUGGCAGUCAGAGGCGAUGAAGGACGUGCUAAUCUGCGAUAAGCGUCGGUAAGGUGAUAUGAACCGUUAUAACCGGCGAUUUCCGAAUGGGGAAACCCAGUGUGUUUCGACACACUAUCAUUAACUGAAUCCAUAGGUUAAUGAGGCGAACCGGGGGAACUGAAACAUCUAAGUACCCCGAGGAAAAGAAAUCAACCGAGAUUCCCCCAGUAGCGGCGAGCGAACGGGGAGCAGCCCAGAGCCUGAAUCAGUGUGUGUGUUAGUGGAAGCGUCUGGAAAGGCGCGCGAUACAGGGUGACAGCCCCGUACACAAAAAUGCACAUGCUGUGAGCUCGAUGAGUAGGGCGGGACACGUGGUAUCCUGUCUGAAUAUGGGGGGACCAUCCUCCAAGGCUAAAUACUCCUGACUGACCGAUAGUGAACCAGUACCGUGAGGGAAAGGCGAAAAGAACCCCGGCGAGGGGAGUGAAAAAGAACCUGAAACCGUGUACGUACAAGCAGUGGGAGCACGCUUAGGCGUGUGACUGCGUACCUUUUGUAUAAUGGGUCAGCGACUUAUAUUCUGUAGCAAGGUUAACCGAAUAGGGGAGCCGAAGGGAAACCGAGUCUUAACUGGGCGUUAAGUUGCAGGGUAUAGACCCGAAACCCGGUGAUCUAGCCAUGGGCAGGUUGAAGGUUGGGUAACACUAACUGGAGGACCGAACCGACUAAUGUUGAAAAAUUAGCGGAUGACUUGUGGCUGGGGGUGAAAGGCCAAUCAAACCGGGAGAUAGCUGGUUCUCCCCGAAAGCUAUUUAGGUAGCGCCUCGUGAAUUCAUCUCCGGGGGUAGAGCACUGUUUCGGCAAGGGGGUCAUCCCGACUUACCAACCCGAUGCAAACUGCGAAUACCGGAGAAUGUUAUCACGGGAGACACACGGCGGGUGCUAACGUCCGUCGUGAAGAGGGAAACAACCCAGACCGCCAGCUAAGGUCCCAAAGUCAUGGUUAAGUGGGAAACGAUGUGGGAAGGCCCAGACAGCCAGGAUGUUGGCUUAGAAGCAGCCAUCAUUUAAAGAAAGCGUAAUAGCUCACUGGUCGAGUCGGCCUGCGCGGAAGAUGUAACGGGGCUAAACCAUGCACCGAAGCUGCGGCAGCGACGCUUAUGCGUUGUUGGGUAGGGGAGCGUUCUGUAAGCCUGCGAAGGUGUGCUGUGAGGCAUGCUGGAGGUAUCAGAAGUGCGAAUGCUGACAUAAGUAACGAUAAAGCGGGUGAAAAGCCCGCUCGCCGGAAGACCAAGGGUUCCUGUCCAACGUUAAUCGGGGCAGGGUGAGUCGACCCCUAAGGCGAGGCCGAAAGGCGUAGUCGAUGGGAAACAGGUUAAUAUUCCUGUACUUGGUGUUACUGCGAAGGGGGGACGGAGAAGGCUAUGUUGGCCGGGCGACGGUUGUCCCGGUUUAAGCGUGUAGGCUGGUUUUCCAGGCAAAUCCGGAAAAUCAAGGCUGAGGCGUGAUGACGAGGCACUACGGUGCUGAAGCAACAAAUGCCCUGCUUCCAGGAAAAGCCUCUAAGCAUCAGGUAACAUCAAAUCGUACCCCAAACCGACACAGGUGGUCAGGUAGAGAAUACCAAGGCGCUUGAGAGAACUCGGGUGAAGGAACUAGGCAAAAUGGUGCCGUAACUUCGGGAGAAGGCACAGCUGAUAUGUAGGUGAAGCGACUUGCUCGUGGAGCUGAAAUCAGUCGAAGAUACCAGCUGGCUGACGACUGUUUACUAAAAACACAGCACUGUGCAAACACGAAAGUGGACGUAUACGGUGUGACGCCUGCCCGGUGCCGGAAGGUUAAUUGAUGGGGUUAGCGCAAGCGAAGCUCUUGAUCGAAGCCCCGGUAAACGGCGGCCGUAACUAUAACGGUCCUAAGGUAGCGAAAUUCCUUGUCGGGUAAGUUCCGACCUGCACGAAUGGCGUAAUGAUGGCCAGGCUGUCUCCACCCGAGACUCAGUGAAAUUGAACUCGCUGUGAAGAUGCAGUGUACCCGCGGCAAGACGGAAAGACCCCGUGAACCUUUACUAUAGCUUGACACUGAACAUUGAGCCUUGAUGUGUAGGAUAGGUGGGAGACUUUGAAGUGUGGACGCCAGUUCUGCAUGGAGCCGACCUUGAAAUACCACCCUUUAAUGUUUGAUGUUCUAACGUUGACCCGUAAUCCGGGUUG
This 2233-nucleotide ribosomal RNA is filed under the name Rhodococcus qingshengii. RNAcentral's name for it is "bacterial LSU rRNA". It matches the Rfam family "Bacterial large subunit ribosomal RNA", at positions 1 to 2247 of the family's 2925-position model. Lineage: Bacteria; Bacillati; Actinomycetota; Actinomycetes; Mycobacteriales; Nocardiaceae. The record is from RNAcentral.